GUAAGGUCUGGGAACACAUAGUCCACAGCAGUAUUAUGGACCAUUUUGACAAAUACAACAUACUUACCAAACGCACAGCAUGGAUUUCGCAAAAAACGAUCAUGCGAAUCGCAACUUAUAAUAACAAUCAACGACAUUGCUAAAAAAACUCGAAAAAGGAUCCCAAGUCGACAUCAUCCUUCUUGACUUUGCAAAGACAUUCGACAAAG
Molecule: long non-coding RNA, 209 nt
Filed under: Mytilus galloprovincialis (Mediterranean mussel)
Lineage: Eukaryota; Metazoa; Mollusca; Bivalvia; Mytilida; Mytilidae
Source: RNAcentral